RNAcentral lists this long non-coding RNA (1380 nucleotides) under Chrysemys picta bellii (western painted turtle). Its description in RNAcentral is "lncRNA (ENSCPBG00000013763.1)". Lineage: Eukaryota; Metazoa; Chordata; Testudines; Emydidae. The record is from RNAcentral.
ACACGACCAUCCUUUGGGAGACUGCUUGCAUCUCUUUGGCCCUCUGAAUAGCUUGAGCCCUCCCCAGCUGCUAGCCGGAAGCUGCAAAUAGGGUGACGUAAGAGUUUGAAUUCCCAGUUAACUGCCCCACAGCCAAGCAGCUCCCCUGGGUUCCCACUCAGUCGGGCGAUAGCGGAGCUGCCUUCGCCCAUGGAAAGGAGUCUGAUCUCCCUACGACACCCACCCCUCUGCCCCAGCUGGCAGAGCAGCCCUGCAAAAGGGAGGGUUCUUGGAGCCCAUCUUCGGGGCAGCAGCUGUCCAGUGGGUGAUGACCCCGCGGACCAUCUCCAUUGCUAGGCUCUGUAAGAACUACAUUUCCCAUCACGCCUCACACUGAUUGGCCUAGUUCUGCCCCGCCGUAUGACACUAGCGAGAGCUUCUUCCAGGAGCUGAAUCCGCUUGCGUCGGCCCAGACUGCAGACGGAGCUAAACGUGCUUCCUGGCGCUCUAAGCAGAGGAGGACGCCCCUCGCCCAGCUGCCUGUCUCAAAGGGUCUGUCCCCUUUUCUUCGGGUCCCGGAGCUCCACCACGGGCAGGGCUCCCAGGGAGAUGCUGCCUGAGAACUAUCGCUCGAGCCCCGGCGGUGGGUUUNGUUACACACUGUCCAGAUACUGUUCCCAAUUUCCCGCCACUCUUCGGUGGACAUCCAGGGAAACCUUUGCGUCCUGCUUCAGAGGCUCUGUAAACUGCCACAGGAUUUCAGUUUGGCAUUCACCUUUACCGCCCGGCCCGCCUGGGUGGAGUUUUUAGGGUCCUUCUCUUCCUGCAUUUUUUUUCUCUUUCAACUGGCAAAUUUGCUCGUGCAGGUUGGUUUGUUUUUGUUUUAAUGCAGCAUUGAGGAAAUCCAGCCAGUUCUCUGUUUCAGGACCUGGUUGGCUUUCCCCUCUUUGUUGGGUAACGUCAGAGUUUUCCGUGUGUCUCGUAUCCUACGUUACAAGCGCCUGGCGCGUUCUUCAGAAGUCAGAUCAGUUUGAGGUAUGGAGCGGGUUGUAUUUGAAUUCAUGUCUCGAUGAUGAGGUGUGUGGAAGGGGAAUUAUUGGGUGGGAGCUCUGUCCAACCCAGACCCUUAUGCUCAGGAAUUAGAAAAAGCUGCUAAAUCCAACCUGGUAACUGCAUCUGUCUAGCUGGACUUUUUUUAAAAACUGAUUCCCCCUCCUCCACUGGGCCUUUGCUUCCAGAGAUGGCUUCCGUCUCCUUUCCACUGGAGGAACCGGGCGCUCGGAAAUCAGACUAGACUUGCAAUGGUGUCUUUGCUGGUCCAUAAAAGUUGCUGGUUGUGUCUUGUGUGCGCUGUUUCAUUGUGUCGACUGCACUAAUAAACUGCCUUUUCUUGACUCUCCA